AGCCAUGCGAGUCGACAUAGCAAUAUGUGGCAUACGGCUCAGUAACACGUAGUCAACAUGCCCAGGGGACGUGGAUAACCUCGGGAAACUGAGGAUAAACCGCGAUAGGUCAUCACUUCUGGAAUGGGUAAUGACUUAAACCUAUAUGGCCCCUGGAUUGGACUGCGGCCGAUCAGGCUGUUGGUGAGGUAAUGGCCCACCAAACCUGUAACCGGUACGGGCUCUGAGAGGAGGAGCCCGGAGAUGGGCACUGAGACAAGGGCCCAGGCCCUAUGGGGCGCAGCAGGCGCGAAACCUCUGCAAUAGGCGAAAGCUUGACAGGGUUACUCUGAGUGAUUUCCGUUAAGGAGAUCUUUUGGCACCUCUAAAAAUGGUGCAGAAUAAGGGGUGGGCAAGUCUGGUGUCAGCCGCCGCGGUAAUACCAGCACCCCGAGUGGUCGGGACGUUUAUUGGGCCUAAAGCAUCCGUAGCCGGUUCUACAAGUCUUCCGUUAAAUCCACCUGCUUAACAGAUGGGCUGCGGAAGAUACUAUAGAGCUAGGAGGCGGGAGAGGCAAGCGGUACCCGACGGGUAGGGGUAAAAUCCGUU
RNAcentral lists this ribosomal RNA (588 nucleotides) under uncultured archaeon. Its description in RNAcentral is "bacterial SSU rRNA". It matches the Rfam family "Archaeal small subunit ribosomal RNA", at positions 47 to 643 of the family's 1478-position model. The record is from RNAcentral.